Molecule: ribosomal RNA, 466 nt
Filed under: uncultured bacterium
Lineage: Bacteria
Description: partial 16S ribosomal RNA
Rfam family: Bacterial small subunit ribosomal RNA
Source: RNAcentral
GACGAACGCUGGCGGCGUGCUUAACACAUGCAAGUCGAACGGAAAGGCCCUGCUUUUGUGGGGUGCUCGAGUGGCGAACGGGUGAGUAACACGUGAGUAACCUGCCCUUGACUUUGGGAUAACUUCAGGAAACUGGGGCUAAUACCGGAUAGGAGCUCCUGCUGCAUGGUGGGGGUUGGAAAGUUUCGGCGGUUGGGGAUGGACUCGCGGCUUAUCAGCUUGUUGGUGGGGUAGUGGCUUACCAAGGCUUUGACGGGUAGCCGGCCUGAGAGGGUGACCGGCCACAUUGGGACUGAGAUACGGCCCAGACUCCUACGGGAGGCAGCAGUGGGGAAUAUUGCACAAUGGGCGGAAGCCCGAUGCAGCAACGCCGCGUGCGGGAUGACGGCCUUCGGGUUGUAAACCGCUUUCGCCUGUGACGAAGCGUGAGUGACGGUAAUGGGUAAAGAAGCACCGGCUAACUACG